AUGACACCAUGACACCACCACACCAUGACACCACCACACCAUGACACCACUACACCAUGACACCCCUACACCAUGACACCACCACACCAUAACACCACUACACCAUGACACCACUACACCAUGACACCACCACACCAUAACACCACCACACCAUAACACCACCACACCAUGACACCACCACACCAUAACACCACCACACCAUAACACCACUACACCAUGACACCACCACACCAUGACACCACCACACCAUGGCACCACUACACCAACACACCAUGACACCACUACACCAUGACAACACCACACCAUGACACCACCACACCAUGACACCACUACACCAUGACACCACACCACCAUGACGCCACUAUACCACCACACCAUAACACCACUACACCAUGACACCACCACACCAUGACACCACCACACCAUGACACCACUACACCACCACACCAUGACAUCAUGACACCAUUACACCACCACAUGACACCUCCACACCAUGACACCACUACACCACCACACCAUGCCACCACCACACCAGACACCACCACACCAUGACACCACCACACCAUGACACCACCACACAAUCACACCAUGACACCACGACAUAACCAUGACACCACCACACCAUGACACCACCACACCAUGAAACCACUACACCAUGACACCACCACACCAUGACACCACCACACCAUGACACCACCACACCAUGACACCACCACACCAUGACACCCCUACACCAUGACACCACCACACCAUGACACCCCUACACCAUGACACCACACCACCAUGACGCCACACCACCAUGACGCCACUACACCAUGACACCACCACACCAUGACACCACCACACCAUAACACCACUACACCAUGACACCACUACACCAUGACACCACCACACCAUGACACCACCACAUGACACCUCCACACCAUGACACCACCACACCAUGCCACCAUGACACCAUCACACCAUGACACCACCACACCAGCACACCAUGACACCACCACACCAUGACACCACCACACCAUGACACCCCUACACCAUGACACCACACCACCAUGACGCCACACCACCAUGACGCCACUACACCAUGACACCACCACACCAUGACACCACUACACCAUGACACCACCGCACCAUGACACCACCACAAUAUGACACCAUGACAUCAUAACACUACCACACCAUGACACCACCACACCAUGACACCACCACACCAUGACAUCAUGACACCAUUACACCACCACAUGACACCUCCACACCAUGAC
Long non-coding RNA from Oncorhynchus tshawytscha (Chinook salmon), 1262 nucleotides. Lineage: Eukaryota; Metazoa; Chordata; Actinopteri; Salmoniformes; Salmonidae. The record is from Ensembl.